RNAcentral lists this ribosomal RNA (494 nucleotides) under uncultured bacterium. RNAcentral describes it as "bacterial SSU rRNA". It matches the Rfam family "Bacterial small subunit ribosomal RNA", at positions 903 to 1397 of the family's 1533-position model. The record is from RNAcentral.
AAAUGAAUAGACGGGGCCCCGCACAAGCGGCGGAGCAUGCGGAUUAAUUCGAUGCAACGCGAAGAACCUUACCUGGGUUUGACAUAUGCCGGAAACAUCUAGAGAUAGGUGCCCCUUUUUGGUCGGUUUACAGGUGGUGCAUGGCUGUCGUCAGCUCGUGUCGUGAGAUGUUGGGUUAAGUCCCGCAACGAGCGCAACCCUCGUCCUAUGUUGCCAGCGGGUCAUGCCGGGGACUCAUAGGAGACCGCCGGGGUCAACUCGGAGGAAGGUGGGGAUGACGUCAAGUCAUCAUGCCCCUUAUGUCCAGGGCUUCACGCAUGCUACAAUGGCCGGUACAAAGAGUUGCGAGCCUGUGAGGGUGAGCGAAUCUCAAAAAGCCGGUCUCAGUUCGGAUUGGGGUCUGCAACUCGACCCCAUGAAGUCGGAGUCGCUAGUAAUCGCAGAUCAGCAACGCUGCGGUGAAUACGUUCCCGGGGCUUGUACACACCGCCCGU